This 77-nucleotide transfer RNA is filed under the name Deinococcus sp. Arct2-2. Its description in RNAcentral is "tRNA-Arg". It matches the Rfam family "tRNA". Rfam says of the family: Transfer RNA (tRNA) molecules are approximately 80 nucleotides in length. Their secondary structure includes four short double-helical elements and three loops (D, anti-codon, and T loops). Further hydrogen bonds mediate the characteristic L-shaped molecular structure. tRNAs have two regions of fundamental functional importance: the anti-codon, which is responsible for specific mRNA codon recognition, and the 3' end, to which the tRNAs corresponding amino acid is attached (by aminoacyl-tRNA synthetases). tRNAs cope with the degeneracy of the genetic code in two manners: having more than one tRNA (with a specific anti-codon) for a particular amino acid; and 'wobble' base-pairing, i.e. permitting non-standard base-pairing at the 3rd anti-codon position. The record is from RNAcentral. Lineage: Bacteria; Thermotogati; Deinococcota; Deinococci; Deinococcales; Deinococcaceae.
GAAACGGUAGCUCAACUGGAUAGAGCAUCCGGCUACGAACUGGAAGGCUACAGGUUCGAUUCCUGUCUGUUUCACCA